UCGGAUAUGGUGUAACGGCCAACAUUACCGCCUCUCAUACAGAACGCGGUAGCUCGGGGUUCGAUUCCCCGUAUCCGAA
Molecule: transfer RNA, 79 nt
Filed under: Amanita muscaria Koide BX008
Lineage: Eukaryota; Fungi; Basidiomycota; Agaricomycetes; Agaricales; Amanitaceae
Rfam family: tRNA
About the family: Transfer RNA (tRNA) molecules are approximately 80 nucleotides in length.
Source: Rfam by way of RNAcentral